CAGACUGUGUGCCUCCAUUCUCUGUUAGCCGACAUACAAUCUAUCAUAAGUUGGCUGACAUGCUCACACAAUUUGUUUGCUUGGGACAGAAAUUAAGCAUUGAAACUAUGUUCCACAUGUGUGCUUAGCAUCACAUAAUUCAUAGCAAACUCAGCCGUGUACAAAUCUAGGUUCACCUAUGUAGCAUAUCUGGUUAAAUUUCACAUAUGUGAUUGCAAGUUCCAUCGACAAAUAUGUCCACACAAGUUCCUAAAGAUAAUACUCUACCAUAUCUAGAUCAUACUACUCUACUCUCUACUGUUGCCAAAAGACACAAUAAAACCCAUCCAUAGCCUUUGGUCUUCUUCGCCCUUGGGCCUCGGCGCAUUUGAACAGUACAGCAACAAGAGGCAAAUGAACAUACCAUCAAGGGUCACCUGGUAAGAGUUUUGCACAUUAUGUUAAUUCCCGCAAAGUAAAAAGUGCAAAAUAACAAAGCGGCACAUAUUUGUAGAAGGUAAAAGGUACAAGAACUUGCAGAAACUCGCUGUGCGCCCAAGCGUAAGUGGUCUCAGUAUCACAGACAUACUAUAGCUAUAUCCAGUACAUCAUUUUCCCAUUCAAAAUUCAUAAAGCCAAGCCUAUUUUAUUCAACAUCUUAGUGAAUAGCAAGUCUAUCACUUGGUUGAUUAAACAGAGCAAAGAAUCUAGAACUCUGGUCAGACUUCAUCAGGUGAGAUCAAACCUUAACCUUAUAAUCUACCUGAGACCCUGAUUUAAUAGUUGACAAUAUAUAAGCACAAUCAAAUGUAAAAUGGUUUAGACAAAGAACUAGAGAAAAUAUUAUUAUGCAUGAUAUGAAUCUGUUUAGUAGGUUUUACUAUGUUUGUCUAAAAUAAGUGAAAUUUAAGAGUUGAGCUGAAAAAUACGCAUAUAAUAGCUUACUGUUGUAUUUCAAAGUAAAGUGGCAACAGGCAAGCCUCAUGCAACAUACAAAAAUUAAAAAGGGAUGCCAUUUAUAUACCAUACAUCAAAAUCAUAAAUGUAAAGUGAAAUUUCUUUCGUGCAAUAGAUGUGAAGAUACUACAAGAAUUUAAACCACUAUUCAUAGCUGAGCUAUUGUGAAAGGAGCUUUUGGAUUUACUUUUGUUCCCUCCACUAGGCAUAUAAGAUGUGACAUAUGAUGGAAACAAAUUUUCAGCUACAUAUAUGGUAGAAAAUGUGCGGUAACUGAAAGUGCUAAUAACAUGUGAAAGGAGUAGUAAAAUUACAACCCCAACAUGCCCACAAACAACAGAAAUGUUGCUAUCUCUGGGGUCAAGUCCAAGAAGCUCUUCCUGUAGAUAGAUAAGGACAUUAAUAGGAAUUUGAGAAAAAACCCACAAAGAAACUAGUAAUAUAAUAGGGCACUAUGGCAAACUAUUUUGAAGCACACAACACAAAUCUAUUCGCUCUUACUACAUCAAGUGUUUUCAUCCCUAAUAGGAGCUUCAGAACAUGUUCCAUAAUUUUUUUAAUACUUCAGCAGACUCAAAUGAACAGAGAAAUUCAUGUAGAAUAAUAAUUGUACUAAAAUUACAUAAUGCUAGAACACACCAAAGAUAAUGAUAUGGGCAAAUCCGUUUUUUCACAUUAAGCAUGCGAAAUAAUAAUAUGCGUACAAUAGAGCUCAUGUAUUUGGGAAAAUAAGAAAUGUAUUUGCUGACCAGCAGAUCAUAGAAUUAAAUGUGAACAAGCUUAAAAAGAUCAUUCAAUUGCAGAAAAACUAUUUGCUGGUUAUACCUGAGGGGGAAAGUUAUUAUUGUCCGGCCUGCUGUUUGUCCUGGUCAACGACCUGAACUCAAACCUGUCUUCUCAUGCUGCAGUUCAGAGGAAAGAAAAUAUGGAGUAAGAAGAAUUAGAGCACAUAAUGAGACAAAGGGUGACAAAGGCACGAUGAGAGGGGAUCCGUCGCCGCUGCCGUUCACCAGAGCUAGGUGAGAAGAGGAUGAUAGACGGUGGAAUUGUGAAUUAGCUUUUGUGAUUACCUACUACUAUCACUAACUUUGUUAAUUGGCAUCUCAGUAAAGAUAGUUCCUAUUGUUGUGUGCUGGUAACAAAGUAGAAAAUUGCACAGCACAUGGAUGAUGCACCUGAACCUGACUAGGGAACACUGAAGCAAGCAUGGAAGCAUGGAAACAUCCACAAUAAUAGCAAAGCAUGGAUGAAUAAGCCUAGGAAAUCAUGUAACUACUUGAUUAGUUUAUUUAUCACUUCAAAUCAACAACUUAUUUAACUUCCUCCAACCGUGUGCAGUGUAGGGAAAUCCACGACAAUUACAAAGCAUGAAUAAGCCUAGGAAAUCAAUCAAACACUUGAUUUUCAGCCUGUGUGGUGGAAAAGCAUGGAGGGGAGCUUACCAGACGUGUUGUGGUCAUGAGAAGAGAAUGGGUCCGUAGAUCUCAUCACUUGGCAGUCGUUGAUGAAGCAUGCAGUAGAUCUAAUUUCAUUCCUCACGCGGCAGCUCCAAUCGAUCCCCAUCACCUAACCCGUGAAUCUGCAACUAGGAGAACAAUAUAAAUAAAAUAAAAAACGAAAACCAUAGGGGAACGAGAUGGAAGUCAGGCUCAAAUCCGAGGUUGCGAGGUGGGUUCUUGUUGUAGCGUGCCCAAACCCUGGGGAGGGCGACACCACUUUGAUUCAGAAGGGGAGGGAAGGAUCUGGCCAUGAGAGAGGGAGGUGGGGUGGCUACCAAACAACGUGAAGGGGUCGGCGUCGAUGGGGUGGUGAGGCAGCGGUGGGCGGUGUCGGUGACGGCGUGCCGGCGGCGGUGGGCGGUGCCGGUGACGGGGUGCCGGCGGUGGCGAGCUGAGUAGAGGCAGGCGGCACACGGGUGAGGAGAGGAGGUUCCUUCGGUGGGGUGAGGCAAGGAGUUUCUGUAGGGGGGAGAGGGAGGUGGUAGAGAGGCGAUGGCCGGUGACGCCGACAUGGCUGUGGCGGCGGAUGGAUGGGUAGAGGCGGGCGGCGCACGGUGAGGAUAGGGAUGAUACGGUGGAUUUGUGAUUUAGGUAUAUACGCAAGGGGGGAAACGGUGGGGCUGCGUGGCUUCUUCUACCAGAGACUCAGAAAUUUUCGUUCAAAAGAGCCCGCCUCAUUUUCAGUUCGGCGCGAACAUUUCAU
RNAcentral lists this long non-coding RNA (3138 nucleotides) under Triticum aestivum (bread wheat). Its description in RNAcentral is "long non-coding RNA (TAES_LNC025556)". Lineage: Eukaryota; Viridiplantae; Streptophyta; Magnoliopsida; Poales; Poaceae. The record is from RNAcentral.